CCCCUAGACGUUCUGGGCUGCACGCGCGCUACAAUAAUACGCACAGCGAGUAUCACCGAGCUCGAAAGGGCAAGGUAAACAAUAGAAAAGGUACUGUAAUGGUUAUAGAUCCUUGUAAUUAUUGAUCUUCAACGAGGAAUUCCUAGUAAGUAUGUGUCAUCAUCACGCACUGAUUACGUCCCUGCCCUUUGUACACACCGCUCGUCGCUCCUACCGAUUGGGUGAGCCGAUGAAACUCUCGGAUGUAGGCUAUUCAUAGCCCGCAGAAGAGAUUUGAAUCGUAGCGCUUAGAGGAAGGAGAAGUCGUAACA
RNAcentral lists this ribosomal RNA (311 nucleotides) under uncultured eukaryote. RNAcentral's name for it is "partial 18S ribosomal RNA". It matches the Rfam family "Eukaryotic small subunit ribosomal RNA", at positions 1470 to 1796 of the family's 1831-position model. The record is from RNAcentral.